RNAcentral lists this ribosomal RNA (1178 nucleotides) under Streptomyces sp. NRRL WC-3604. Its description in RNAcentral is "bacterial LSU rRNA". It matches the Rfam family "Bacterial large subunit ribosomal RNA", at positions 1763 to 2925 of the family's 2925-position model. The record is from RNAcentral. RNAcentral also lists the same sequence under 1 other name. Lineage: Bacteria; Bacillati; Actinomycetota; Actinomycetes; Kitasatosporales; Streptomycetaceae.
UGAGCUGGGGGUGGCCGCAGAGACCAGCGAGAAGCGACUGUUUACUAAAAACACAGGUCCGUGCGAAGCCGUAAGGCGAUGUAUACGGACUGACGCCUGCCCGGUGCUGGAACGUUAAGGGGACCGGUUAGUCGAGAUUCGUCUCGGCGAAGCUGAGAACUUAAGCGCCAGUAAACGGCGGUGGUAACUAUAACCAUCCUAAGGUAGCGAAAUUCCUUGUCGGGUAAGUUCCGACCUGCACGAAUGGCGUAACGACUUCUCGACUGUCUCAACCAUAGGCCCGGUGAAAUUGCACUACGAGUAAAGAUGCUCGUUUCGCGCAGCAGGACGGAAAGACCCCGGGACCUUUACUACAGUUUGAUAUUGGUGUUCGGUUCGGCUUGUGUAGGAUAGCUGGGAGACUUUGAACUCUGGACGCCAGUUCAGGGGGAGUCGUCGUUGAAAUACCAGUCUGGUCGUGCUGGAUGUCUAACCUGGGUCCGUGAUCCGGAUCAGGGACAGUGUCUGAUGGGUAGUUUAACUGGGGCGGUUGCCUCCUAAAGAGUAACGGAGGCGCCCAAAGGUUCCCUCAGCCUGGUUGGCAAUCAGGUGUUGAGUGUAAGUGCACAAGGGAGCUUGACUGUGAGACCGACGGGUCGAGCAGGGACGAAAGUCGGGACUAGUGAUCCGGCGGUGGCUUGUGGAAGCGCCGUCGCUCAACGGAUAAAAGGUACCCCGGGGAUAACAGGCUGAUCUUCCCCAAGAGUCCAUAUCGACGGGAUGGUUUGGCACCUCGAUGUCGGCUCGUCGCAUCCUGGGGCUGGAGUCGGUCCCAAGGGUUGGGCUGUUCGCCCAUUAAAGCGGUACGCGAGCUGGGUUUAGAACGUCGUGAGACAGUUCGGUCCCUAUCCGCUGUGCGCGUAGGAGUCUUGAGAAGGGCUGUCCCUAGUACGAGAGGACCGGGACGGACGAACCUCUGGUGUGCCAGUUGUUCUGCCAAGGGCAUGGCUGGUUGGCUACGUUCGGGAGGGAUAACCGCUGAAAGCAUCUAAGCGGGAAGCCUGCUUCGAGAUGAGGACUCCCACCCACUUGAUGGGGUAAGGCUCCCAGUAGACGACUGGGUUGAUAGGCCGGAUCUGGAAGCACGGUAACGUGUGGAGGUGACCGGUACUAAUAGGCCGAGGGCUUGUCCUCAGUUG